CUUAUUGAUUUUCUUUGCUACCACCCUCCAUACUCUCAGGAAACUGCAUUCUGAUUCUUAACAUUAUAAAUUGUUUUAGUCUGCUGUUGGAUAAACAGAAUCAUAAGUGAAUUUCUGCCUCUUGUUUAACAAUGUUUUUCAAAGUGAUCUUUGGUAUCUAUACACUUUUUUUAAGUUCAUGCUUUUAUUUUUGAAUUUUUCUUUGGAUUCUAACAUUUGUUCUUCUCACUCAUCAUCACAUCUCAGUGCUGGCCCUGUGCUAUGAGUGACAUGCCAGUGGGGAGUGUGACUGCCAUGAUUAAUAUGCUUAACCCUGAAGAGCUGCACCUGUAGUUGAUAUGAGUGAAUCUUUAUUGAAAUAUAAUUUUUCUACAAUAAAAUUGUCUAACUUUAAUCAUACAGUCUCUUCUCAAUAUCAACCAGCCCUGACUACAGUCAACCAGCGUGUUGUUCUUGUCUUUCCUUUCUUUGGGAACACCGUGUCUGCCAGAAUGGAAGGACUGAUUUCCUAGAUUGCCAAAGAAUCGACACUUCAGGGAUAGCGAUCAUGUUCCAGCAAGAAGGCCAACUAAGUUAUGCUGUUACACAAACCUGAAUAUGCUGAGUAAAUUGUACUUUUAAAAAACACGUGACAAGGAAUUCCAAAACCAGCAGGAGAGAGAAGAGACUCUCCAGUUGCCAAAAACUAGAGAAAGCAUAAAGCAAAAUAGUAAGUAUGUGACCUGCCCUAUACCUAGAACUUAUGUUGU
RNAcentral lists this long non-coding RNA (749 nucleotides) under Sus scrofa (pig). Its description in RNAcentral is "lncRNA (ENSSSCG00070000469.1)". The record is from RNAcentral. Lineage: Eukaryota; Metazoa; Chordata; Mammalia; Artiodactyla; Suidae.